UACAUGAACUGGACACCUGCUCUGCUACAGCAUGACUCCCAGACCCAUCUCACUACUGCUGUUACUGGCAGCUGCAUCCUAUGUGCAUUCGGCUAUUGAUCUCACACAGCCCAGCUCAAUGGUUGUCAGGCCUGGAGAGGCCAUGACCAUCAGCUGCAAGGUGGCUGGAUACUCUGUUGCUGACAGGUACGCCACAGGCUGGAUUCGACAGCCUGCAGGAAAAGCAUUGGAGUAUAUCAACCACAUUUGGGGAAAUGAUAAUACCUACCAGGCAGAAUCCCUGAAGAGCAAGUUCAGCAUCUCUAAAGAUGGCUUCAGCAACACUGUGACUCUGAGAGGCCAAAACAUGCAGCCUGGAGACUCUGCUGUCUACUACUGUGCCAGAUACUAUGGCCACUGUGGAUACUGCCAGACCCUGACAGAGUCAGAAGGAGCUGUGGUGUCACCUGGAGGAUCGUACAAACUCACCUGUACGGCCUCUGGGCUGGACAUCAGCAACUACUACAUGGCUUGGAAUAGACAAGCACCAGGAAAAGGCCUCGAGUGGCUUGCACUUAUGCAUGGUGGUACUAUUUAUUAUUCACAAGCUGUUCAAGGAAGGUUCACCAUCUCCAGAGACGACAGCAAGAAGCAGGUGUAUCUGCAGAUGAACAGUCUGAAGGCUGAAGACACGGCUGUGACGAGGCAAGGACGCUGA
This is a non-coding RNA of Engraulis encrasicolus (European anchovy), 697 nucleotides long. The record is from the annotation of a RefSeq genome assembly. Lineage: Eukaryota; Metazoa; Chordata; Actinopteri; Clupeiformes; Engraulidae.